RNAcentral lists this ribosomal RNA (1452 nucleotides) under Staphylococcus aureus. Its description in RNAcentral is "partial 23S ribosomal RNA". It matches the Rfam family "Bacterial large subunit ribosomal RNA", at positions 12 to 1464 of the family's 2925-position model. Lineage: Bacteria; Bacillati; Bacillota; Bacilli; Caryophanales; Staphylococcaceae. The record is from RNAcentral.
UAAGGGCGCACGGUGGAUGCCUUGGCACUAGAAGCCGAUGAAGGACGUUACUAACGACGAUAUGCUUUGGGGAGCUGUAAGUAAGCUUUGAUCCAGAGAUUUCCGAAUGGGGAAACCCAGCAUGAGUUAUGUCAUGUUAUCGAUAUGUGAAUACAUAGCAUAUCAGAAGGCACACCCGGAGAACUGAAACAUCUUAGUACCCGGAGGAAGAGAAAGAAAAUUCGAUUCCCUUAGUAGCGGCGAGCGAAACGGGAAGAGCCCAAACCAACAAGCUUGCUUGUUGGGGUUGUAGGACACUCUAUACGGAGUUACAAAGGACGACAUUAGACGAAUCAUCUGGAAAGAUGAAUCAAAGAAGGUAAUAAUCCUGUAGUCGAAAAUGUUGUCUCUCUUGAGUGGAUCCUGAGUACGACGGAGCACGUGAAAUUCCGUCGGAAUCUGGGAGGACCAUCUCCUAAGGCUAAAUACUCUCUAGUGACCGAUAGUGAACCAGUACCGUGAGGGAAAGGUGAAAAGCACCCCGGAAGGGGAGUGAAAUAGAACCUGAAACCGUGUGCUUACAAGUAGUCAGAGCCCGUUAAUGGGUGAUGGCGUGCCUUUUGUAGAAUGAACCGGCGAGUUACGAUUUGAUGCAAGGUUAAGCAGUAAAUGUGGAGCCGUAGCGAAAGCGAGUCUGAAUAGGGCGUUUAGUAUUUGGUCGUAGACCCGAAACCAGGUGAUCUACCCUUGGUCAGGUUGAAGUUCAGGUAACACUGAAUGGAGGACCGAACCGACUUACGUUGAAAAGUGAGCGGAUGAACUGAGGGUAGCGGAGAAAUUCCAAUCGAACCUGGAGAUAGCUGGUUCUCUCCGAAAUAGCUUUAGGGCUAGCCUCAAGUGAUGAUUAUUGGAGGUAGAGCACUGUUUGGACGAGGGGCCCCUCUCGGGUUACCGAAUUCAGACAAACUCCGAAUGCCAAUUAAUUUAACUUGGGAGUCAGAACAUGGGUGAUAAGGUCCGUGUUCGAAAGGGAAACAGCCCAGACCACCAGCUAAGGUCCCAAAAUAUAUGUUAAGUGGAAAAGGAUGUGGCGUUGCCCAGACAACUAGGAUGUUGGCUUAGAAGCAGCCAUCAUUUAAAGAGUGCGUAAUAGCUCACUAGUCGAGUGACACUGCGCCGAAAAUGUACCGGGGCUAAACAUAUUACCGAAGCUGUGGAUUGUCCUUUGGACAAUGGUAGGAGAGCGUUCUAAGGGCGUUGAAGCAUGAUCGUAAGGACAUGUGGAGCGCUUAGAAGUGAGAAUGCCGGUGUGAGUAGCGAAAGACGGGUGAGAAUCCCGUCCACCGAUUGACUAAGGUUUCCAGAGGAAGGCUCGUCCGCUCUGGGUUAGUCGGGUCCUAAGCUGAGGCCGACAGGCGUAGGCGAUGGAUAACAGGUUGAUAUUCCUGUACCACCUAUAAUCGUUUUAAUCGA